RNAcentral lists this ribosomal RNA (331 nucleotides) under uncultured bacterium. RNAcentral describes it as "bacterial SSU rRNA". It matches the Rfam family "Bacterial small subunit ribosomal RNA", at positions 568 to 898 of the family's 1533-position model. The record is from RNAcentral.
CGCGUAGGUGGUUGUGUAAGUCGGAUGUGAAAUCCCCAGGCUCAACUUGGGAACCGCAUCCGAUACUGCAUGACUCGAGUACAGCAGAGGGAAACGGAAUUCCUGGCGUAGAGGUGAAAUUCGUAGAUAUCAGGAGGAACACCGGUGGCGAAGGCGGUUUCCUGGGCUGAUACUGACACUGAGGCGCGAAAGCGUGGGUAGCAAACAGGAUUAGAUACCCUGGUAGUCCACGCUGUAAACGGUGAGUGCUGGGUGUGGGAGGUGUAAUGCCUUCUGUGCCGAAGCUAACGCGUUAAGCACUCCGCCUGGGGAGUACGGCCGCAAGGUUGAA